AAGGAGAGCUUUGUUUGGGGCCACACUCUGAUGGUGAAGACUUACUCGCUGUUAUUUGAAUUUUUUAUGAAAUAUGAGUUAGUGUCUACUAAUAAAGCAAAGCCAUUACAAAUGGUGACACGUUAAAUGUUUAUUUAAAUAAAAGUAUCUGAGUAAUUUAUUUAUGAGUAACACAUUAUUCUGGAACUGAAUAUUCAUUUCGAGCCUCAAGAAGUCUAAACUCAUCUGAGCAGAUUUGGGUGCGAUCUCAGAGAUUCCUGCAUCUAUACAUCACCAUCAGAAGACAACAUUCAUAAAAGCACAAGAGAAGAAUCAGUGUCCAGCGAGGAGCAUCUCAGUCCCAUCAAGAUCAUUAAGUACAUAUACAGAAGAACAAGAAGAAAUGAAUAUUCAAAUACCAACACCAGCAGUAACAGUGACCGAGGUCUCCGUUCAGCCAACUGUACCAUUGGUUCAGUCCACUUUGGUCAUGAGUCAAAUGCCAGUUGCUAUUGUACCAGAUUACUUGGGCUACUCCAUCUUUAACAUGCUGUGCUGCUGUUUCCCUCUGGGCAUCGUGGCUAUCAUCUUCUCAUGCAGUGCUCGAGAUGCUAACUUUUCUGGACAGCGAGACUUAGCGAAGAGCCACUCCAGAGUGGCAUUUAUCCUGAACAAUGUGUCUGUCGGUAUCGGCCUCGCAAUCAUGACAACAAUUCUUGUCAUUUGUUUGAAAUAUGCUUGAACAACAUCUUUGAACAGAUGUUUUAUUCUGCUUCAAAUGCAUCUACUCAUUCUGUCCAUGAUAAUGUCAACUCAAGUCAAUGAUUUUGCGGAAGAAAUGAAAAAUAUUUUCCAGACCCUCUUAGGGAAUAAUGUAAUAAACAUUUAUCUUUCAUUUCUUUUUGUAUUUAAUGCUGGCAGACUGAUCUGUUUGAUUAGCAUAAAUGAAAUGCUUUACUGCUUUUAACUUAAUCCU
Molecule: long non-coding RNA, 955 nt
Organism: Carassius gibelio (silver crucian carp)
Lineage: Eukaryota; Metazoa; Chordata; Actinopteri; Cypriniformes; Cyprinidae
Exons: 3
Source: RefSeq, a predicted model, not a curated record